GUGUGCUGAUUUUCUAGGCUCCAGUUUGAAGUGAUUUCCAGGUCUUCUGCGUAUUCCUAAAUCAGAAAGAAAAAGAUGAGACUUUAUGCUUAUAACCGCUGUCGCUGAAAUCUACGUAGAUUGGUGUCUCUGGCUCAGAAUCAAGCAAUAUAUCUUUGAGGCAUUUGGUGGUUGAGUUCUUGGGUAUUUCUGCUACACCACUCCUUAAUUCGAGGUCCGUAGCAAUUUCAGUGUAAAGAAGCCUCGGGGAUACUACAAGAGCUUGAAGAAAAUGCAUCGCGACCUGCCACUCAUCUCCUUGGAGCUUUCUAACAAGGGAGAGGUAAAACCUUGAUGUUUUCUCUGCGGUCCAUUUUGCUUGAAUUGCUGCUUCUAUACUCUCUAUCCCCCAAUAAAGAUUCGACAAUAUUGAUUGCUCGGAGAAUUCAAGCGACGAAUGCACAGACUGAUUCAAGGUCUAGUUUAUCGUCGUCAUAUGAAAAGACAGGAGGAGGGGUAGCAACAGCAGACGAAGAAGAUGCAGCAGCCAUUGAAUUAUGUGACAUUUUGGCCUCAUGAAGAAGAAGAAUAAGAACAAGGAGCAAAUACUAUUUACUACAGAUAAGGAGAAGAAGUGGUGUUAGAGUGGCUUUUUCUGUAUUCUUUGCUCGUGAUUGUUGCCAACUUCUGAGGCUUUAGGGGCCCCUCUUUUUUUUCUUCUGAAAGAUAUGCUACAGACAAAGAUAUGGCCGUUGCUCCAUUAAAGGAGGGAAAGUUUUUACAGAAAUAAAGGACAGAUGUUUGAGGUUGUUAUUGUCUUUACAGAGUAAUAAUUAAGAAGGUAACUUUGUCCAUUUGCUAUCCUUAUUCCUAAUGUCCAUAGUUUGCUAUUUUAGCUUAGUUAGAGACUUGUAUAGUAAUGUAAUUAAGGGUACUUGUAUAGUAAUGUAAUUAAGGGUAAGUGUUAGCUGUAAGAACAAAUGAAAUGUACGUGAAUAAUUCACGGCAACUAGUUUGGAAAUUAAAUGAUUGCUAUCUA
Nicotiana tabacum (common tobacco) is the source of this 1018-nucleotide non-coding RNA. NCBI's taxonomy places the organism in Eukaryota, Viridiplantae, Streptophyta, Magnoliopsida, Solanales, Solanaceae. The record is from RefSeq and is a predicted model, not a curated record.